This 77-nucleotide small RNA is filed under the name Flavobacterium sp. 11. RNAcentral's name for it is "Flavo-1 RNA". It matches the Rfam family "Flavo-1 RNA". Lineage: Bacteria; Pseudomonadati; Bacteroidota; Flavobacteriia; Flavobacteriales; Flavobacteriaceae. The record is from RNAcentral.
ACUUAGCCCUGAUAGUAAUGAAAAUCCUUUAUUGUUUUUUUAAACAAUAAAGAUUGAAAAGGAUAGCAGGAAUUAGC